AAACUAACAAGGAUUCCCCUAGUAGCGGCGAGCGAAGCGGGAAGAGCUCAAAUUUAUAAUCUGGCACCUUCGGUGUCCGAGUUGUAAUCUCUAGAAGUGUUUUCCGCGUUGGACCGCACACAAGUCUGUUGGAAUACAGCGGCAUAGUGGUGAAACCCCCGUAUAUGGUGCGGACGCCCAGCGCUUUGUGAUACACUUUCAAUGAGUCGAGUUGUUUGGGAAUGCAGCUCAAAUUGGGUGGUAAAUUCCAUCUAAAGCUAAAUAUUGGCGAGAGACCGAUAGCGAACAAGUACCGUGAGGGAAAGAUGAAAAGCACUUUGGAAAGAGAGUUAACAGUACGUGAAAUUGUUGGAAGGGAAACGCUUGAAGUCAGACUUGCUUGCCGGAGCUUGCUUCGGUUUGCAGGCCAGCAUCAGUUUUCCGGGGUGGAUAAUGACGGUUUGAAGGUAGCAGUCUCGGCUGUGUUAUAGCUUUCCGUUGGAUACGCCCUGGGGGACUGAGGAACGCAGCGUGCUUUUUGCGAAAGACUCGUCUUUUUCACGCUUAGGAUGCUGGUGGAAUGGCUUUAAACGAC
This 574-nucleotide ribosomal RNA is filed under the name Rhodotorula diobovata. Its description in RNAcentral is "eukaryotic LSU rRNA". It matches the Rfam family "Eukaryotic large subunit ribosomal RNA", at positions 62 to 648 of the family's 3401-position model. The record is from RNAcentral. Lineage: Eukaryota; Fungi; Basidiomycota; Microbotryomycetes; Sporidiobolales; Sporidiobolaceae.